Molecule: long non-coding RNA, 21768 nt
Filed under: Populus tremula
Lineage: Eukaryota; Viridiplantae; Streptophyta; Magnoliopsida; Malpighiales; Salicaceae
Description: long non-coding RNA (PTRE_LNC001708)
Source: RNAcentral
ACAAAAAAAUGGGGACAUAAUGGAGAUGGUUGAUCCAAUAUUGGGGUCUGAAUUCAACAAGAAAGAAGUGGUUAGAAUGAUCAAUGUAGCCCUGCUAUGCACAAAUCAAUCUCCAGCACUUAGACCUACAAUGUCUACAGUAGUGAGCAUGCUUGAAGGAAAAACUGAUGUCGAGGAACUCGUCAUGGUUCCAAGCACAUUGGGUGAUCCAUCAGGGUUUUCUACGGCCUUACAUAACAAGUUUGCUCGAUCUUCUGUCAAUGGAAGUUUAAGUGAAACUCAGUCCCUCUUGAAGUUAUCAGAGGGACCAUGGACUGCUUCUUCCUCUUCAUCGGCCCAGGAUCUUUAUCCAAUUAGUAAAAGCUGAUGCCUCGAACCACAAAUUGUUUAUCAUGAAAAAUCAUGAAUAAGAAACAGAUUAAAACUAAACAGUCACAAAAGUACUUUUUAUAGUUAGUGUUUAUAUCCUACAGGGAAUUGAGUGAUUAUAUGUAAUAUUGACUUUAUUUAUGCAAAAAUAUAUAUUUUUAUUUAUAAUAAUAAUUAUUUAAGUUUUAUUAAUGAAUCUAGAAUAAAUAUGAAAUUCUGAAACAUAAAUACUUUGUAAAUAAAAUUAUAAAAUAAUUAUAAUUAUGAGUAUUCAUAGCUAUUGCAUUAAAACAUUGUUUUUAAAUAUUUAUAUUCAGAGUUGUGAAGAGUGAUAUAUAUCAUUUUUAUAAAUAUAAUGAAUAAUAAUUACAAUAAAAAACCUGUUACUAAAAGCUAAGUUAAAUUGGAGUUGGAUUUCUUUUUUAUUACGAGAGUGUUUAAGAGUAUGAUACUAGUUGCGGUUAAAAAUAUUUUUUACUUGAAAAUAUAUCAAAGUAAUAUUUUUUAUUUUUUAAAAAAUUAUUUUUAAUAUCAAUAUAUUAAAAAAAUCUAAAAACAUAAAAAAAUUAAUUUUUUUUAGAAAACAUGAUUUGUACUGCAUUUCUAAACACCACUUCCAUCUAUCAUGUAACAAUUGUUCCCAUUGAAAAUCAAUCCAAUUCGGUGAUAAGUCUCCACACUAAAUCAUUCAUAAGAAGCCUUAAGUAUAUUUUAUACUUCUACCCUAAUCUCAGAACCUUUAAAGACUCAAGAAAAAUCCUUUACCUUAAUCUAUCCAACACAUUUCCAUUAUUGCAAACCUUUAUAUCUUUUGCCAGAUAGGAAGCUAUUCUCAGUAUUUCUGAUUUUUAUCCUUGAACUUUCAUUUUACACAAUUGAAUCAUUUUUAAUUCGAAUUGAAAUCCAAUUGCAUAUUUUUUUAGGAGGAAGAGUAAUUGAAAGGCAAAUGAUUAAAAUAAAAAAGCAGGUAAAAUAGGUAAUGUAUUUAAAAUUGGUUUGUGAAGUUCAUAUUAGUCUCCUAUCUUUUUUAUCUAUUAGGUAAUUGGUUCCUCUAAUUGUCAAAAAUUCAAUUUUGAUACGAAACUUCAUUUUUUAAAUUUUUUCCAGUUCUUCUUUGGUGAAGGAGAGAGAUGGGAUCGUCAAAUUCCAACGUAAAGAAAGAGAGUUGUUGAUAGAGAUGAUUUUGACCACCAAAAUAGUAUAUUUUUGUGUCAAAUGGUUUCAUAUAAUAGGAAGAGUUAAGAUUAUAUGGUUUUACCUUGAAAACACCUACAAAAACAAAUAUGAGAUUGAUAAGAGUUUUGAUUUCGAGUUGAUUUUGAGUUUUGGAGUUCUUUUUAGCAUUUUUAGAGGCCAUAGAUUGGUUUAACAAGGGUUCAUAUGAUGUUUUUCUAAGUGUUUUGGGUCAAAAAUAUGUUGAAAAUGAGUUUUUGGGUGAAAAAAAAACUAACCCUAUUUUUCGGUCAACUUGUUGCCGAAUUCUACAGAGCUCCGGAUGAUGCAUCAUUGUUUUUUUCUAUUUGUUAAUAUUUUUGUUCUUUUUAAUUUAAUUUCAAAGUGAAAAUUUAUUGUUGCCCUAUAAUUUAUUUUUUAUUUUGAUUUUAACCCUUUUUUUUAAUUAAUAUUUUCUAUUUUAAACUUUUUUAUAUAAUUUAUUUUUUAAAGUUUAUUAUUCAACAUUUUAUUUUUUAUUUACCAAGGAUUGGGAUCAUUAAAGAGUCGAUGUUGCCUUGCUUGCUUGUGCUUAAACAAGUUCAGGAUCAGCACCCCCAAUGCCUAAGAGAAUUGAUAUGGAAAAGUUCCUGAGUUAUUGGAACAUUGAGUCAAGCCGAGCAAUUAUUUUUAUUAAAACGUUGUAGUUUUGAUUUUUUAUAAAGUCAGGGCAACUCAAUAAAAUCAAUUAAAUUUUAUAAAAUAAAUAUCUUUUUUAAUUUAAUUUAAAAUUUAAUCUAAUUCAAGCACUGCAAUUUUCUAAGAUCAAUCUGAAAAUCAUUUUAGUAUAAAAUAUGUUUAGUAUUGUGGUGUAAAAUAUUUUUUAAUAAAAAAUAUAUUUAAAUAAUAUUAUAUAUAUAAAUAAACAAAAAACAAUUUUAAAGAAAAAAUCACAGAAAACUUUACAACUAUAUGCUGGAAAUACAAAAACUCUUAACCCUUUUUUAAGGGAAAAAAAUGGUGAAAGGCAAACCCCAUGUAUUCCCAUUGUUUUUUGACCUUAGCCCGUUUUUACAAGAUAAUGGGUCCAUGGAGUUCUUAAAAUCGCAGCAAAGAGCUAGAACAGUCAAGCAUUAGAUUCAUGCAAAUUCUUUGAUCCCGAACGAUCACAUGAGUUAAAUUGAUUAAAAAACACCUGAUGAGGAUAAACUAGUUUAAUCAUAUAUUUAAUUAAAAAAACUUGGGUCAGAUUCUAAGUUUUCCAUGUUAAUUUGUCAUAUCAAGCAGGUUUAAUAAUUAUGCACAUUACAAUAAACCCAUGACUAUAAGCAAUUUAGAGGCUUCUCGAUAGAAGUAUGGACUUGCAUUUGACCCCAACUAAAACAAACCUCACAAAUGACAAAUCUAUUUUAAGAAGCCUAAUGGACUUUUAUACAUUGAUUUUUAUAAUUUUAGAGGCUUUUUCUGUCACAUAUAAUACAUAUUAUUAUUAUUAUUAUACUAUACUUUAAUAAAAUGUGUGGAAAAACAUUGUGUAGAUACUAUAUAUGUAGAUUUAUUAUAUUAUGGACCACAUUAUAGAUAUAUAAUAUUUGUACCGUGGAUGAUAUUGUAACACCAGGAGAGCGUUAUUUUUUUUUUAAUUUAAUCAAAAAAUAUUGUCGGGUCUGGUUUGGCCGCUAACCCAAUGCUAUUGGAUCCGACUACCAAUACCCUUGAAGUCUAGCUGCCUAGCUAGAUCCAAUAACAUUGGAUCUGGCUCGGCAACCAGACCCAUAAAUAUUGGGUUUGUCUCGAUCGGUAGCAAGACCAAUGAUAUUUUUAUAUUUAUAAUUUUUGCAUUUUUUUCACUCAAUGCAUAUUUGUUUUGAUUAAUACACACACACACACACAAACACUCACACACACUAAACUUAAUCACAUUUUCUUUGUCAUAUUUGGUUUAAAAGUUGUUUGUUUUUGAAUUUUAAAGGUGUAUUUAUCUUGAAACAUCAUUAUAUUAAUGUAUUUUUUUAGUAAUUGUUUUUUUAUAAUUUUGAGGUAUUGUUGUUAAAAGUAAAAAAAAAAAACCUUAUUUGAACUAUUUUCAAGUAAAAAGUACUUUUAAAAAAUAUUUUAUACCACAAUUUCAGACCCAAGACUAUUGGGUUCAGCUCCAUAGCCAGACCCAAUAGUAAUGGGUCUGGUUGCAGAGCUAGACCCAAGGUUAUUGGGCUCUCUUCAGAAGCCAAACCCAAUAUGGAGCCUAGCUCAGCUGUUAGACCCAACGAUAUGGGAUAUGGCUUGCCAGAAAGACACAAUGCUAUUAAGCCUGGCUCUACAACAAGACCAAUGUUUUUGGGUCUGCCAUUCUCGCCAGACCCAAUAUCAUUUGGUUCUGGUAUAACCGUCAGACCUUAGAUUAUCGUGUUUGACUCUACAACCAAACCCAAGAAUAUUGGAUCUAGCUUGACUGUUAGACCCAAAACACUUAAAAUAUUCUCUAUACUCUUUAUAUUUGUUUUACAUUUGAAAAACAAUUUGUUAUUAACUUGUUAUGGAGCGCAAGCCAAUAUAAUAAUAGCUUAUUAAAUUAUGUUUGUUUUUAAUAUAUUUUUUAAUUUUAUUAUUCUUAUCCUUUCACCAUCCUAAAUUCAAAAAAAAAAAAAAAACUCUAAUCACUUUACCUAUCAUUCAAACUUUGACCAUUAACUUGCAAUAUCAGCACCUUCCCAAUUAAAUGUUAUUUUAGGAGCUUAGAAUAACAUCUUUUUACUUUUAUUUGUUCUUUCAAAACAAAUCAAAACUUACGAUUCCAAGAAGAAGAUAGCGCUACGAGGAUAAAAUAAUAAAAUGAUGUUGUAAUCUAUAGAUCUUUUAUUUUUAUUAUUAAACAUUUGCUCCUAAACAAAUAGUCACAAUUUAGUCCUUCAACAAUUUCAAUAAAAUCCUUGCUACCUUUGAAUGGUUUUAAUACUGUCUUUCCAUCCAUUUCACGAUGUGUUUGCUGUUGCUUGAAUGAUAUGGAGAAUGCUCUAUGUGUUAAGAAAUAUAUGCUGAUUCAAAGAGAAUAUAUUUUAUUUGAUGUAAUUUUUCUAUAAUUAUUUUUUUUUUUAUUUUUUUUUUACAUUUAGACUCUUUAUAAUAAAUUAAAUAGCGUAAUUAUAAAAACCCUCGUAAUAUAAAAAAUACAUACAAAUUUCUAUUUUAUUUUUUACAUUGAUAUUAGAGCUGGAUUCAAUAUAAAAAAUACAUACAAAUUUUUAUUUUAUUUGUUUACAUUGAUAUUAGAGCUAGUUUCAAUAUCCUAGUCUUUCAAUACUUUGGUCAAAUAUUAUGGAGGACUAGAAAACCGACAUAGAGCCAGCCACCCAGGAGAGACCGGUAGGAAUGCAACUUCGAAAUGAAAUUCUUUAAGAUAUUUCAUUUUGAGAAAUUAUUCAAUGCAAUUGGAUUAAUAAAUAUAUUUUACAAAGAUAUUUUUAAAAUAAAAUAGCCUAUCUUACAAAGAUAUUUUACAAUGAUAUUCUUUCGAAAUGAGUCUCUUUUGAUGGUUUUGUGGAUUCAAAGAAUUAUAUAGCCUUUCUUUUCUCCGUUUUUGAACGUAAAAUUCUUCUUUCUUAUGGUCGGAUACUUCCUCUCCAAUUUCCCAAUCAUAUUUAUUAUUAUCAAUCUUCCCGUUGACUAAGAGAUAAAAAAAUGCAAGGGCACAAGUGGUCUAGUACAGACAAAGGUAUACUUGAAGAAGUGCGGGCUUAUAUAUAUAUAUAUAUAAGACAACGUAAGAAAGACCCCACAUCAUCCUGAAAGGUCAACUAUAAUGAUGCAUUAAGCUCUCUCCAGGCAGCCUACUAACUCUUAAAGUGGAUUGCAGACUAAGGAAGAUGGCUACUGCACUCUCUGAUAUAUUGAGAGUCACAUCUAGCUUACUUAUGCUUAUGUUCCUAAUGUUUUGCAUGGGAGCAAUUAACUUGGAGGCCCAAGAUGGGAGCCUUGCUCCUGAUGAAGGUACCUAUAUAUAUAUUUUUUUAAUUUCUUGGCAAGGCAUUGUAGAAGCCAUCAGCUAAUCAUCCCAGAAUUAGAAGUUGAGAUUUAAUUGUGAUUUAUGCAGUGGAAGCUCUACUUGAAGUAGCAACACAACUGGGCAAAAAAGGCUGGAAUCGCAAUAUGAAACUGUGCAAUGAUACAAUUUUACCUCCAAAGCCAGAUGCUGACAAUAAAGUUGUUUGCAACUGCUCGUUUCCUGGGGGUGUGUGCCGUGUUAUUGCCAUGUAUAUCUCUUCACUUACCACUCCAUGCUUUUAUUUUCAAUUUUAAUUUGAGGUCUGAAGGAUUCUGAUGGGGCCAGUUCAGGGAAUGGAGGAAUAGUUGUGGUGUAUAAAGUCUCCUCAGAAACCCCAUUUCGAUUGUUGAAUUUUAUAUUAAGAAAUUCGGAUAAAUUCAUUAGCAAUACAAUUAUCUAAAAACAAGUAUGAUAAGGAUAUCAAGGAAAACUUAAUCAUGUGGAAAAUGUCGUGAAUAGCAAAGAAAGGAUCUCCAGCAAAGAAAAUUGAGCAUCUGUCAGAAGUUUAGUCUUAAAAGUUUGAAGAAAAGCUGAGUUUGUCGGAAAAUAAUAUAAAUAUUUUCAUAUCUUGAGAUCUCGAAUCUCGAAGCUUUCACUUGGAAAGUGUUUAGGAAAUAAUAUAAACCUUACAGUUUAAGUCAAAAAUUUGGUUUUCUAUUCCAUUGGCUGUUUGUUUGUAGUUAUGUCUUAUAUUUUCUUGACAUAUGAUUGUUGAUUUGCAAUGGUUGAAAGUUUUGAAUUCUUACCUUGUAGUGAGGAAUUGAUGGGUCCAUGUGUUCUUGCAAUGCAGAUAUCUCAAAAGGCAAGAUCUUGAUGGUAGUCUCCCAAAGGCUAUAGAGAAACUACCACAACUUAAACAUCUGUAAGCAGCGCUUCAAAUUACUACAUUUCUACAGAUUGAGUACCGUGAAUUUGCAUCGAAUGAUUCGAUUUUAUUAGAAUUAUAUCUCCUCUGCAGAGAUCUCUGGGCCAACUACCUGAGUGGCAAUAUACCACCUGAAUGGGCUAAUACCAAGCUGGAAUUACUGUAAGAAAAUACUGCAUUCAUGUUUUGUAGCCAAGGAAUUGCUUACUCAUAAUUAAUAGAUUGUAUAAACAACAGGUCUAUCGGCGUGAAUCGCUUGACAGGAAAAAUCCCUAGCUAUCUGGGAAAUAUCACCACACUUAGAGCAUUGUAUGCAUUUUUCUACUAGUCAAUUUCUUGUCUUUUAAUUUUAUAUUUAAAUCUGUUCAAUUGUUUAGUCAGGAGUAAUCCUGAGAGUUGGCAUUUAUGCAGGAACAUUCAGAACAAUAUGUUUUCUGGAACUGUUUUCCCUCUGAGCUUGGAGGCUUGGUUAACCUGGAGAAUCUGUCAGUUCAUUCAACCUUUUGCGUUUGAAAUUAAGUCCUAACUGAUUAUUGAAUGCUAAGUGUUUUUCUCCUUUUGUGAUUGCAGAACUCUCAGUGCCAAUAAUCUCACUGGAGAGUUACCCCCGGCUCUUAUUAAUCUUACCGGAUUGAAGGAACUGUAGGUUCUCAUUUCACAUGGUUAUUGUGCAUCAUACUCAUUAGUUGCAGUAUUUGAUAUUUACUCUCCAAGUUUCUUGAUUCUGUGUUUUCCGUUCGGCGAAUGCAGAAGGCUUAGCAGCAAUAACUUCACUGGAAGAAUACCUGAUUUUAUUCAGAGCUGGAAACAACUUGAUACAUUGUAUGUGCUAGUUUCUAACAAGAAGUUCUGAAUCUCAUCAGUGAAGCAGAACCCUAACCCCCCUUUAAUUUUGUAUUAACAGAGAGAUCCAAGCUGGUGGUUUCACUGGACCUAUUCCUUUGAACAUCUCUGUCUUGACUAAUCUAACUGAUCUGUAAGAUAUUUGUUUUAAAUUUAUGGUCCCAGUUACAAGUUUAAUCCUGAACAUCUCACAUCUUUAUGUUGCCUACUAUUGAGCAGAAAAAUAAGUAACUUACUUGGAGAUGGUUCAGAGUUUCCCAACCUAGAAUCUAUAGCAGGCAUUAAGUAUCUGUGAGUUAUUCUUGCAGCUGAUACUCUCAUACCAGGAUCAUAUUUAAUUUACAACACAGUAUAUAUUUAGCUUACAUGAAAUUAAUGUAUAUUGCAGGCUAUUGAGCAACUGCAACUUGUCAGGAAAUUUUCCCAUAUAUUUGACCGGAAUGGCACAGCUGAAAAUUUUGUAAUUCACUCUGUCCCUUAUACAUCAUCCAUUGUGUCAUUCAUCUACAUGAAGAUUGAAGUGUGAAUCUCAUGGAUACUUAGAGCUGCUGUCUUUAGAUUGCAGCUACAUUAUUAUUUGUAAAUAACUUUCAAAAUGCAUUAUGAACCAGGGAUCGCAGUUUUGGUCUUUAAUUUAUUUUUUUUCCUUCUUUUCGAAAACAGGGAUCUCAGUUUCAACAGAUUAAAUGGUUCUCUUCCAACAAAUUUUGAUGGCCUAAAAAGCUUGGAGAAAAUGUAAGUAUACUAUAUUAUAUUACCUUCUGAAAUUAAUGUUUGCCAUAUGAAAGCAUAAUUAUUAAACCUAGACAAGUUGACAUAGAAAGUUCAGGACUCGGAGCCGAGAUUCCAAUUGAACCAUACAAGACAUUGAACUGCCAAACCUGAUGGGUCAAUAUGCAUUUGCUUAAAUAAAAAAGUUGACUUAAAAAAGUACGACAAAUAUGUUCAACCAAAUGAACUUGUUCUCCAGAUAGUCUUUUGCAAUGAUAGCCUUGGACAAAUGUUCAACCAAAUGACCAUUCUUACUUUCUGCCUAGGUAUCUUACAUGGAACACGCUUACAGGGCCCAUCCCAGAUUGGAUCGACAAAAGAGAUCCUCGCUAGUAUGUUAAUUUUUUCUUAAUUUUUGUAUACGAAUUUUGAUUUUUGAGAUUUUUAUUCGUAAUAUAUUUUCUUUUUACUCAAUUAGAAUUAUUUAAUAUUUUCUUUGAAGAGCUAUAAAAGCCGAUAAACAGAUGAUCCUUCCCAGUUUCCAGAUAGUUUACAGUACAGCUGUGCAUGAAUGAUCAAAACUAUCUCCAAGGUUUCCUUUGGUUAGUGUCCUAGGAUAGAAAGGACAAAUAUAGAAGGGACAAAAAAGUAUUUGGUUGCAGUGAUGAAGAUGAAGAUAUAAAAUUUUUUGUCUCGAGAUAGUUUUGGAUUGAAUUUUUAUCUUUUGAAAACAGAAAAGGCGUCAGGUGAGGACAUAUUCUUUCUGUCCCAACUACCUUCAUCUCUUUUAUCUCGAGACAGCAACCAAAAGCUAACCCAUUGCAAUAUCUUCCAAGUGUCUGUCUAUAGCAUGUGCAUGCAAUUUUCUAAAAAUUCCAGAAAUAUUGGCUGAAUGUUUAAUGAAGCUAUCUUUAUGUGCAGCGAAAUCGAUCUUUCUUACAACAAUUUUACUUCGGAAGCAAAAUGUAGAGAAACACUGUAAGAUUGAUUUCAUUUUCCUUGCCUUACCUUUGAUUUUGAAAGUCUACUUCUUUUUACAUCACCAUUCACUUCAUAACCUACAAAACUUGACUCUUCUUGUUGUCACGACCCGAAUCCCGGAUCCGUGACCGGCAACGUAGGAGCGGUGUCGAAAGGACACCUCACCUACGUUAAGCCUCAGAACAGACAUGUCAAAGAACAAUUUGUUCAAAAAUACGCAGCGGCUCAUAAUAUUCAGAAAUAUUAUAUUAUUCAAAUACUGAUGAAACCGAAAGAUAAUUAUUAAAACAAAAAUAAUAAUUCAUAAUACUUAUUACAUUGUCAAAAUCCAAAUGUAAUUAAAACAAGGUAACAGUGGAGCGUCUAAGACAUCAAAUCAAAACUGAAAGGAAAGCCUUGCGAACAAGCAAGGCAUACCGACAAGAACUGAAGAAGCGGAAACACUCAACAAAGUUCCAGAAACUAAGAACCUGAAAUAAUAUUAAAAAUGAGGGUGAGUUCAACCAACUCAGUGAGGGGAAUAACAUUUAAUACACAUUUCAUAUAUUUCAGAUAUUAUUUGCAAGAUGAUUUAUCUUGAUAUGCAUAUACAUAUACAUAUACAUAUACUUACUAAACAUAUUAUCAUAACGUAGUGGAUUACAUGUCAGAGAACAGAUGACACCCGAAGGUGACCAGAUGACACCCGUCGGUGACCAGAUGACACCCGUCGGUGACCACUGUGGGAUGAUCAAUCACCACAGGCUGAUGCCUCUCUCACCAGCUAGGUAACAGAAUACUAUGUGCACACAAGCUAACUAUUCUCCGUUAGCAUGGAGUUACUGACAAGUCCCAUAUCAAGGCAUAAUAGAUAUUCACAUAAUCAUCAAAGAAGCGUAUAUCAUAUCAAAUAGAAUUUACUUUGACAGAUUGCGAAUGCAAAUUCAAGAAUAAAUGAGUACUCGGAAAAUAAAGCAACAUAUAUAAAUAUUCAAGAAACUUACUAGUCGUACUCAUUGUAUAAUCAACAUACAUAUUUAUUUAUAUUAUAUGCAUAUUAAAGAUUAUUCCACUCACCCGGAAAAUACUGAACUAAAGGAAUGUCAGGCAAAAGACCCGAAAAUCCGAUUAAGGAUCGUUAGGAGAACCUACAAUAAAUUAAUGAAAUAUACUCAAAAACAAAUCAAACAAAAGAUACAAAUGCAUAAAAUAAACUGAAAACGACAAUUUUCCAAAACAGGGACCAAAACGUAAUUUUACCAAAUUUGAGGACCGAAUUGUAAAUAUAUAUAUCCAUACUGAAAUUAUCCAUAAUUCGUCCUUAUCUUUGUCCAGAAUCUUGAAUUAUGCCCCAAGGUCCAAAAUGUGAUUUUAUCAAAAUAUUAGGGGUCAAAUCGUAAUUUGUCAAAUUGGAGGACCAAACUGAAAAUAUUAAUUAUACUGGAAUUUUGUCCUUAAAUCAUCCUCAGUUCUGUUCAGAACCUCAAUUUAUGCCCCAGGGACCAAUCUGUAAAAGUUCCAAAGUUCGGGGACUAAACUGCAAUUUCCAUAAAUUGAGGGACCAAACUGAAUUUUCGUCAUCUUCAACCUCAAACCCAGAAUUUCAACAGAUCACCUACUGUUAUCCCCUGAUUUCUAACACAAUUUCACCAUUUAAACAAAAUCAUAACUCAAAAUCAUUAUCCUUCAAUUCAAUCUCUCAAAAUCAACUAAUUAAUCAAAUACCCAUAAUAAUCAACUCCUAACCUUCAAAUUAAUUCAUCAAUUAACUCAAAAUACAAACUUCAAAACUCUAAAAAUUAAUCAAAACCGAAAUUAAACAUAUAAUACACUUCAAACCAUAAAUCUUACCUUUUAAACUUAUUUCCUCUACUUCUCUUCCUUUUCCCCUUAUUUUCCCUUCUUUUCUCUUCUUCUUCUUCUUCCUCCCUUCUCUCUUACGUUUUGUUCUUCAAAUUUUCAGAUCCCUCUUUCUUUUUCUAUUUAUAUUUAUCAACUAUUUAUCCAAUUACCACAAUACCCCUUAUUCAAAUUUACUCACUCUUUAAGCCUCCAAGGGCUUUAUUGUAUUUUCCAACCAAAAUAUUACAAUCUCCCCACCUUAUAAAAGUUUCGUCCUCGAAACUUAAUAGAAAAGAUUGAAUACUUACCGAGAUUAUUGAAAAGAUGAGGAUACUCCUCACGCAUCUUAUCCUCGAGCUCCCAGGUCGCUUCCUCACGUGAAUGACCUUUCCAUUUCACUUUCACUGAAGCUAUAUCCUUCGACCUAAGCUUCCUCACUUGUCGGUCAAUUAUAGCUUCCGGUUGCACCUCAUAAACCAUAUCAUCUCUCAAUUCAAUAGGAUGAACCUCUAACACAUGUGAUGAAUCUGGCAUAUACUUCCUUAGCAUGGAAACAUGAAAUACCGGAUGGAUGGAGGAUAGAUUAGGUGGCAAGGCAAGCCGAUAUGCCACUACCCCUACUCUUUCCAAGAUCUCAAAGGGCCCUAUAAACCUAGGGCUCAACUUUCCUUUCUUCCCAAAUCUGAAUAUUCCUUUAGUUGGGGAGACUUUUAGGAACACGUUGUCACCCACUGAAAAUUCUAGAUUACGCCUCCUCUUAUCCGCAUAAUUCUUUUGUCUGCUCUGAGCUGUUUGAAGCUUAUCUCGAAUCACCUUAAUCUUAUCCGAAGUAAUCUGUAUUAACUCAGGACCCAUUAAUCUCCUCUCUCCAACCUCAUACCAACAAACAGGUGAUCUACACUUCCGGCCAUACAAAGCCUCAUAUGGAGCCAUAUCAAUGCUCGCUUGAUAACUAUUAUUAUAUGCAAACUCCACCAAAGACAAGUAUUUGCUCCAUCCGACACCAAAGUCAAUCACACAAGCUCUUAACAUAUCCUCCAAAAUUUGUAUAGUCCUCUCAGAUUGUCCAUCUGUUUGAGGAUGAAAAGCAGUACUUAACUGAACAUUAGUCCCCAAAGCUUCCUGAAAUUUCACCCAAAACCGAGAAGUGAACUGUGGACCUCUGUCAGACACAAUUGAGAUGGGCACACCAUGCAACCUUACAAUCUCGUUAACAUAGAUUUCUGCGAGUUUUGCAAACCCAUAUGUCACCUUUACUGGCAAGAAAUGAGCUGACUUGGUUAAACGAUCAACUAUCACCCAAACCGAAUCAUAACCCUCCUGACUUCGAGGCAAGCCUGACACAAAGUCCAUAGUGAUCCUCUCCCAUUUCCAUUCAGGAAUCAACAAUGGUUGCAAAAGCCCUGGUGGUUUCUGAUGCUCACCUUUAACCCUCUGACAUGUCAAGCAUCGAGAUACAAACUCAGCAAUGUCCCUCUUCAUACCAUUCCACCAAUAACACUCUUUUAAGUCUCUAUACAUCUUAUUAGAACCAGGAUGUAUAGUAUAGGCAGUUUGGUGUGCUUCCAUCAUCACAUCUCUUUUCAAAUCAUCCACCUCAGGCACACACAAUCUUGAACCAAAUCUCAACACACCAUCUUCGUGGAUAACAAAACCCGGAGCUCUCUCUAACUCCAAGUCAUCUCGAAUUUUGCAAAGUUGUUCAUCCUUCAUCUGAGCUACUUUAAUCCGGUCUACCAAGUCUGACUUAGCCUGAAAGUGAGCCAACAAUGCUCCCGAUUCACAAAUCUCAAAACUGACUCUCUCAUCUAACAAUCCGUGUAACUCUUUAAUCAAGGGUCUCCUCACCUCCUGAAUAUGAGCCAAACUACCCAUAGAUUUUCGACUUAAAGCAUCAGCAACAACAUUUGCCUUGCCCGGGUGAUAUUGAAUCGUGCAAUCAUAAUCACUUAACAAUUCUAUCCAUCUUCUUUGUCUCAAAUUCAGAUCCUUCUGCUGAAAAAUAUAUUGAAGACUCUUAUGAUCUGAAAAUAUCUCACAUGUCUCCCCAUACAAGUAGUGUCUCCAAAUUUUAAGGGCAAACACUACCGCAGCCAUCUCCAAAUCAUGUGUGGGGUAAUUUUGCUCAUGCUUCUUCAACUUUCUCGAGGCAUAAGCAAUCACAUUACCAUUCUGCAUCAAAACACAACCCAAACCAAUCCUGGAUGCAUCACAGUACACGGUAAAACCACCAGACCCUGAAGGUACUGUCAAAAUUGGAGCCGUAAUUAACCUUUCCUUCAACUCUAGGAAGCUCUUCUCACAUUCUUCUGACCAUUGAAACUUGACACUUUUCUGUGUCAACUUAGUCAACGGAGCAGCAAUUCGGGAAAAAUUCUCCACGAAUCUCCUGUAGUAUCCUGCUAAACCCAGGAAACUUCUAAUCUCAGAUACCGUAACUGGUCUAGGCCACUGCUUAACUGCCUCCACUUUCUGUGGAUCAACCUCUAUUCCAUUCUUGGACACCACAUGUCCCAAAAACCCAACACUCUCUAGCCAAAACUCGCUCUUCGAGAACUUUCCAUACAACUGAUGAUCUCUUAGAGUUUGAAGCACCAAUCUCAAAUGCUCUUCGUGUUCCUCUUCACUUUUUGAAUACACCAAGAUGUCAUCAAUGAACACAAUAACAAACUUAUCAAUAAAUGGUCUAAAAACCCUGUUCAUCAUGUCCAUAAAAGCCGCAGGUGCAUUUGUUAACCCAAAAGACAACACCAAGAACUCGUAAUGCCCAUAACGAGUCCUAAAGGCAGUUUUAGAAAUAUCCUCAUUUCUAAUCCUCAACUGGUGAUACCCCGAUCGUAAAUCAAUCUUUGAGAAACAUUGAGCUCCUUGUAAUUGAUCAAAAAGGUCAUCAAUGCGAGGGAGUGGGUAUCUAUUCUUAAUAGUGACCCUGUUCAACUGCCUGUAGUCUAUACACAUCCUCAUCGAUCCAUCCUUCUUCUUUACAAAUAAAACAGGUGCCCCCCAUGGAGACACACUCGGACGAAUAAAUCCCUUAUCUAACAAAUCUUGAAUCUGCUCCUUCAACUCUUUUAAUUCUGCUGGCGCCAUCCUGUACGGUGCCAUAGAGAUUGGUUUUGUUCCUGAAUCUAGAUCAAUACAGAAUUCGAUUUCCCUAUUGGGAGGUAGUCCAGGUAAGUCAUCGGGAAAAACAUCGAUGAAUUCCUUAACUAUCGAAACUUGUUCUAUCCCCGAGACCUCCAUAUUCACAUCAUGCACAUAAGCCAAAAACCCUUGCAUACCCUUUCGUACCAUCCUUCUCGUGAUGGCCGAGAGAAUACUAGAUGGAGAUGAUAACCCAUCUCCAUGAAAAGCAAACUCUGUCUCCUCAUCAGGCUUGAAAACCACUGUCUUAUUCCAACAGUCAACUGAGGCAUGAUGCCUUGACAACCAGUCCAUACCUAGUAUCACAUCAAAACCUACAAUUUCUAAAAUUACCAAAUCACCUAAUAGGUUUCUACCUUGCACUUCAACUUCACAAUCAACAUAAACAUAUUCCCCAAACAUAACCUCAUCUGAAGGGGUAGCCACACAUAAAGGACUCUCUAACAAAAUGGGUUGUUUAGUAAACUUUAAAGCAAAAUAUGAUGACACAAAAGAAUGAGUAGCCCCGGUGUCAAAUAAAACUCUAGCCUCGAAGGAACAUAUCAAAAGUGUACCUGAGACAACAGUAUUGGAUGCCUGGGCAUCCUGCUGAGUAAUGGCAAAAACUCGUGCCUGUCUCUGACUUGUUGGCGCAAAACCUCUACCGCCUACUCCACGACCCCGCUGGCCACGCUCACCAGCUCCACGACCACCCUGAAAUACAGAAUGACUAGCUGACUGAGUCUGAGUAGGAGAUGUAAUCGGUACAGAAGCAUUAGGCUUGGACCACCUCUUGUUCGGACAAUCCCUCAAUAAGUGAUCAGUCUGCCCGCAACCAAAACAAGCUCCUGUCUGCCUAUAACAGACUGUGCCAUAAUGCCUAGACCCACAAGACUGACAUUGAGGCCUCCCAUAUGAACCUUGUGGUGUUAACUGAACCAUACUUCGACUCUGAGUCGGACCAGCUCCACUCAUGUUAUGUCUAUUGUUCCCCCCAACAGUAGACCUCGACAAUGAAUUCCUUGAUUGACUUAAUUGGCCCUGCCGGCCUCCCUGUCCCCUGUUAGGACCUGUAUCAGACCGCUGAUGAAAAGAGAACUGAUUUGCCACCUUGGGCCUCUUGACUGAACCCACUGAUAAAUCAUCCUCUAACUCUCGUGCCUCAAUAGCUCGGGCACGAUCCACUACGGCUGAGUACGUCUUAAACUCAUGAGCCCCAAUAGCUUUGAAUAGGUAGUUAUUAAGACCCCGAAUAAACCUCUUGAUCUUCCUCUCCUCAGUCGGUACCAAAUACCCAGCAAAUCUAGACAACCGUGUGAAUUCCACUUCAUACUCUGUCACAGUCAAGUCACCCUGAACCAACUUCUCAAACUCGUAUGAUUUAGCUUCCCUCACACUUUCAGGUAGAAAACGCUCCAAAAAUAUCUCAGAAAAUUCCUUCCACUCCAUCGGUGGAGAACUAUCUGCCCUUUCACCUCUUUUACUCAUACCAGUUCACAGCCACCUCGCCUUCUAACCUAAAAGAUGCUAAAGUCACUGCACGAUGAUCUGUGCACCCCAUGGCCUCACACCUGCGCCACACUGCAUCUAAAAACUGUUGUGGAUCCUCAGAGUUAUCGACACCCUUAAAGGUAGGAGGUGCCAACUUAAGGAACUCUGCCAAUGGCACUUUCACCCCAUGCACUGUAUGGGAAGUCGAAGAUGCAUUCUUAUCCUUCUCCUUUUCUUUCUCAGUUAAAAGGUCAGCCAGGGUCUGCAUGGCCUGCCCAAUUUUAUCCAAAGCACUAUCAGUAUAAGACACCCUAUCAUGGGAUUCCUGCUCCUGGUUCUUACCAACAUCCAGACCAUAGUCCCCCUCAAAUUCAACCUCAUCCUGAACUUCUGCUUCAAUUGGUUGAGGCGAAGGGUUUCUAACUCUCUUUUUGCGCCUCUCCUUCCUAAGCUGAGCGAUAGGAAUGUCCUCUUGAUCAUCGGUAUUAAUUACAUGUUUAGCCCUCGGCAUAUUUCUAAAAACAAAAUGCAUAUUUAUCACAAGGAAGAAGACAUGCUUGAUGAGAAUUCAAAAUUUCAAAAACAACAAACAAAACGAUACGGAUCCUAAUGCUCCACUUAUUACGAAAUUUUGAAUAAUAAUAAAUAAAUAAAAUUACGAGGUUUUAAUAAAACCAUGCUCUGAUACCACCUUUGUCACGACCCGAAUCCCGGAUCCGUGACCGGCAACGUAGGCGGUGUCGAAAGGACACCUCACCUACGCUAAGCCUCAGAACAGACAUAUCAAAGAACAAUUUGUUCAAAAAUACGCAGCGGCUCAUAAUAUUCAGAAAUAUUAUAUUAUUCAAAUACUGAUGAAACCGAAAGAUAAUUAUUAAAACAAAAAUAAUAAUUCAUAAUACUUAUUACAUUGUCAAAAUCCAAAUGUAAUUAAAACAAGGUAACAGUGGAGCGUCUAAGACAUCAAAUCAAAACUGAAAGGAAAGCCUUGCGAACAAGCAAGGCAUACCGACCAGAACAGAAGAAGCGGAAACACUCAACAAAGUUCCAGAAACUAAGAACCUGAAAUAAUAUUAAAAAAAUGAGGGGUGAGUUCAACCAACUCAGUGAGGGGAAUAACAUUUAAUACACAUUUCAUAUAUUUCAGAUAUUAUUUGCAAGAUGAUUUAUCUUGAUAUACAUAUACAUAUACAUAUACAUAUACUUACUAAACAUAUUAUCAUAACGUAGUGGAUUACAUGUCAGAGAACAGAUGACACCCGAAGGUGACCAGAUGACACCCGUCGGUGACCAGAUGACACCCGUCGGUGACCACUGUGGGAUGAUCAAUCACCACAGGCUGAUGCCUCUCUCACCAGCUAGGUAACAGAAUACUAUGUGCACACAGGCUAACUAUUCUCCGUUAGCAUGGAGUACUGACAAGUCCCAUAUCAAGGCAUAACAGAUAUUCACAUAAUCAUCAAAGAAACGUAUAUCAUAUCAAAUAGAAUUUACUUUACAGAUUGCGAGCAAAUUCAAGAAUAAAUGAGUACUCGGAAAAUAAAGCAACAUAUAUAAAUAUUCAAGAAAUUUACUAGUCGUACUCAUUGUAUAAUCAACAUACAUAUUUAUUUAUAUUAUAUGCAUAUUAAAGAUUAUUCCACUCACCCGGAAAAUACUGAACUAAAGGAAUGUCAGGCAAAAGACCCGAAAAUCCGAUUAAGGAUCGUUAGGAGAACCUACAAUAAAUAUAUGAAAUAUACUCAAAAACAAAUCAAACAAAAGAUACAAAUGCAUAAAAUAAACUGGGCUUAAUCUCCCGAGUUUAGGGACUAAAACGACAAUUUUCCAAAACAGGGACCAAAACGUAAUUUUACCAAAUUUGAGGACCGAAUUGUAAAUAUAUAUAUCCAUACUGAAAUUAUCCAUAAUUCGUCCUUAUCUUUGUCCAGAAUCUUGAAUUAUGCCCAAGGUCCAAAAUGUGAUUUUAUCAAAAUAUUAGGGGUCAAAUCGUAAUUUGUCAAAUUGGAGGACCAAACUGAAAAUAUUAAUUAUACUGGAAUUUUGUCCUUAAAUCAUCCUCAGUUCUGUUCAGAACCUCAAUUUAUGCCCCAGGGACCAAUCUGUAAAAGUUCCAAAGUUCGGGGACUAAACUGCAAUUUCCAUAAAUUGAGGGACCAAACUGAAUUUUCGUCAUCUUCAACCUCAAACCCAGAAUUUCAACAGAUCACCUACUGUUAUCCCCUGAUUUCUAACACAAUUUCACCAUUUAAACAAAAUCAUAACUCAAAAUCAUUAUCCUUCAAUUCAAUCUCUCAAAAUCAACUAAUUAAUCAAAUACCCAUAAUAAUCAACUCCUAACCUUCAAAUUAAUUCAUCAAUUAACUCAAAAUACAAACUUCAAAACUCUAAAAUUAAUCAAAACCGAAAUUAAACAUAUAAUACACUUCAAACAUAAAUCUUACCUUUUAAACUUAUUUCCUCUACUUCUCUUCUUUUCCCCUUCUUUUCUCUUCUUUUCUUCUUCUUCCUCCCUUCUCUCUUACGUUUUGUUCUUCAAAUUCAGAUCCCUCUUUCUUUUUCUAUUUAUAUUUAUCAACUAUUUAUCCAAUUACCACAAUACCCCUUAUUCAAAUUUACUCACUCUUUAAGCCUCCAAGGGCUUUAUUGUAUUUUCCAACCAAAAUAUUACACUUGUCUUGCCAGAAAUCUGUUCAAAAGUACUUGGGGAGGGAACUAUUCGUAAGCUUCUACUUUGAUAGAUAUCUUAAACAUAGAUCAUUUUAUUUUCUUCUUCUCUGUCAUUUCUUUUAAAGAAGCUGAUGAUUCUAUCUGGCCAAUCUUUCCAGGAAACCUGUUGAGUGCCUGAGUGCUUGUUUAGAAGGUACUCUUAAUUUGUAAAGCUAUCCGCUUUUUCAUUUAACCUGGAACUAGACAGAAAAAUGAUGCAGGAACAGCCUGUCAGCCUAGACUAUAAAUUUAUUUCUAUAUUCAUUGGAUCAUCGCAUCUCAGUCAUAAACGCAAUGGUCCUUUUACCCCAUCAUGGAUCCGACCACUAGGAUUUCCAUCCCAAGAGGAAAUCGAAUCUAAGACCUUCAACUGGUGUAGGAAUAAACUACCAGUUGAUCCCAAAAGCCGUUACAAAUGUUAACGGACAAACUUAUUCACUAGAUAAUAUUGUCUCUGUCAUAAAUAUAAAGGUCCUAUUAUGUGUGGACCAUCCCAUCGUGAACCUAUAACACCUUUGUGUGGGCAUUUACACCAUGAUUUCCACUCUAGUAGGAAAUGGAUGCUCCUGCAUCACAAAAUCUUAAUUUGCUUUUGUGUUUGAUUGUUUCUGUUCUGUUUGGUCCAAUUUAGCAGAAGGUCUGAUCUUAACAUUUCUUGUGUUAUAAUUUGUUUAAACAUAUCGGUGGCCAUAAACAUUUUUAUUUCUAUAUAUAGAGCGAUAUUCAGUGCACAUAAAUUGCGGGGGACCAGAAGCCACCAUUGGAAACACCGUCUACGAAGCAGAUGAUGAGCCAGGAGGUGCAGCAAAAUAUGUGUCCAAAAGAGAGGAUUGGCAAAUAAGUACCACAGGACAUUUCUGGGAUAUUGAUUCUUCCUUGGAUAACUACAUAGCACAAAACAAGUCCAUGCUCAGAAUGGACAACUCUGUAUUGUACACAAAUGCACGCCUCACUCCUUUGUCUCUCACAUACCACGUUCCCUGUCUGGUAAAUGGGAAAUACAAAGUCAAGCUGCACUUUGCAGAGAUAGUAAUGAGGGAUAACAGAUCCUAUUACAGUCUAGGAAGACGGAUAUUUGAUGUUUAUAUUCAGGUAUCUAUUAAUUAAAAGAUCAUAGAUUCAUUCCUUAUGCAAUAGGUGACAGCUUAAUUGAAGAAUUGUUCUCGCAGGACAUUGUUGUGCUGAAGGAUUUUGAUAUAGUGAAGGCAGCGGGAGGGGUGGAUAAGUUAUACAUUCAUAAUUAUACAGCACCUGUAACCAAUGGAGCUUUAGAGAUCCGCCUUCAUUGGGCUGGGAAAGGAACCACAAUGUCUCCCAAAAGAGGAAUAUAUGGUCCUCUAAUAUCAGCCAUUGAUGUGGAAUCUGGUAGGUUGACAUAUAAUGGAAUGGCAUUGUAAUCAAAUAAUAAUUAGUACUGUGAUCUGACAAUACUUGCUCUUGCUGCAAUUCUAUUUCUGCCUAGACUUCAAGCCACCUGAUAAAGGCAGGAGGAAGAGAUUCAUUGUCGCUGGAGCUGUGGUUUUGCCAUUAUUCCUCAUUCUCGUAUUUCUAUCCACUCUUUGGUGGAAAGGUCAUUUGGGAGGAAGGAAAUCGAGGGAUCGAGGUACAGCUGAUACAUUUAUUUGAUUUUGCAAAUUCUAGUGAGGAAUCCAGUAACUAAAAUAACACGGCAAUAAACAGUUUUCUUCAUCUUAUUUGCUGUAUGUCUAUCCAUUAAUGCAUACAUUUGUCAAAGAAUUAUCUCAAUACAAAGGUUUAUGCUGCUUGGCGAAGCUAAAGGAAUGGUUUUAUAUUACUCUCUAACAAUGGCUUUUUCAAUGGGAAUUAUCAAUCUCAAUGCUGUUUACUUGUAGGACUGCAAAAACCAUCUGUGUUCUUCCUUUGAUGAAUCAUUCAUGCAGCACAACUAAUAUAUACAUAUCCUCUUUGUUCCUUGGGCAGAACUUGUCGGGUUAGAUCUGCUUACUGGUAUCUUCACCUUCAGACAAAUCAAAGCUGCAACAAAUGACUUUGAUCCAGCAAACAAACUUGGAGAAGGUGGUUUUGGCUCCGUCUACAAAGUACAGUACAGAUUUUUGUUUUCGUCUAGCUACUUGUCUACUAUAUUAUUUCUUUUCUCUUAUCGAAGCAUCAAGGAAUGGCCUCGGUGAACUUAUUUUGUUUGUCUAAAAUUAUUCUCAUUACAGGGAGUACUAUCAGAUGGGACUCCGAUUGCGGUUAAGCAGCUUUCUGCGAAAUCAAAACAGGGGAAUCGUGAGUUUGUGAACGAAAUAGGCAUGAUUUCUGCUUUUCAACACUCAAAUCUUGUUAGAUUGUAUGGAUGUUGCAUUGAGGGGAAGCAAUUGUUGCUGGUAUAUGAAUACAUGGAAAACAAUAGCCUUGCGCAUGUUUUGUUCGGUAGGCCUCUGAUCACUUCCCCAUAGUAUCAUAUGUAAAGUAAUGAGAAAGAAAACAAGUUCUUUGAAUGGAAUAUAGAUAGAAUUAGUGAAGAAGAAACUGAUGGGUUGAUAUAUGCAUGAUGAUUACAGGGACAAAGGAAAUCAAGGCAACGAAGCUAGACUGGCGUACAAGGCAGAGGAUAUGUGUAAGUAUAGCGAAAGGUCUGGUUUUCCUGCAUGAGGAGUCGACACUCAAAAUUGUUCAUAGAGACAUAAAAGGUACCAAUAUCCUUCUUGACAAGGACAUGAACGCCAAGAUAUCUGAUUUUGGAAUGGCCAAGCUUGAUGACGAGGACAACACCCACAUCGACACCAGAGUUGCUGGAACAAUGUGAGUUUGUGAUAUUAACACAAGUGGUUUAUUGAACACAUGAAAAAUCCUGAAAAGAAGACAGUAAGGAAAACACACAAGUAUUGUCAUUUAUCUAAGAUAGCUUUUAGUCUUAAACAGUAUGAUGCUGUAACUGGGCUCAAGUGCCGAUGGAAGGGGUUAGCUUCAAAAUAUGUGGUAGGCAGGCAUCUAGGGUUCAAAUCACACACUGCAGGGUUCUCAUGGAUGUGUUCCAUCUAUGGCUGUGUUCCUCUAAAUGAACACAUUAUCAUCCAGGGUUCGAAAUCCUGUUUAGGCUGCAAGAAAUAUAAUUUUGCCUAUCGAAAACAAAAACAUAGACAUUUAGCAAUUUUAUACAUGUUUCAGUGAAGCAAACUAGUAAAAUGUCUCUGAGUUAUUCUUUCUGUGCAGGGGAUACAUGGCACCGGAAUAUGCAUUAUAUGGUUACUUAACUUACAAGGCAGAUGUAUACAGCUUUGGUGUUGUAGCAUUGGAAAUUGUUUCUGGGAUGAACAACGUCAAAUUUAGGAGGGAUGAGAAUUUUGUAUGCCUUCUAGAUUGGGUAAGUUAUGCCCAUUUAGUCUCUUAAUUGUCUGUUCAUGUUUACUCUUCGUCAGCUAUAUAUCUAUUUUUUUUUUAUUAUUUCAGGUUCUAUAUUUACAAAAAAAUGGGGUCAUAAUGGAGAUGGUUGAUCCAAGAUUGGGGUCUGAAUUCAACAGGAAAGAAGUGGUUAGAAUGAUCAAUGUAGCCCUGCUAUGCACAAAUCAGUCUCCAGCACUUAGACCUACAAUGUCUACAGUAGUGAGCAUGCUUGAAGGAAAAACUGAUGUGGAGGAACUGGUCAUGGUUCCAAGCACAUUGGUUGAUCCAUCAGGGUAUGCUACGGCCUUAC